RNAcentral lists this ribosomal RNA (429 nucleotides) under Acidobacteriota bacterium. Its description in RNAcentral is "Acidobacteria bacterium partial 16S ribosomal RNA". It matches the Rfam family "Bacterial small subunit ribosomal RNA", at positions 355 to 776 of the family's 1533-position model. The record is from RNAcentral. Lineage: Bacteria; Pseudomonadati; Acidobacteriota.
UGGGGAAUUUUGGACAAUGGGGGAAACCCUGAUCCAGCCAUCCCGCGUGUGCGAUGAAGGCCUUCGGGUUGUAAAGCACUUUUGGCAGGAAAGAAACGUCAUGGGUUAAUACCCCGUGAAACUGACGGUACCUGCAGAAUAAGCACCGGCUAACUACGUGCCAGCAGCCGCGGUAAUACGUAGGGUGCAAGCGUUAAUCGGAAUUACUGGGCGUAAAGCGUGCGCAGGCGGUUCGGAAAGAAAGAUGUGAAAUCCCAGAGCUCAACUUUGGAACUGCAUUUUUAACUACCGGGCUAGAGUGUGUGAGAAAGGGAGGGAAUUCCGCGUGUAGCAGUAAAAUGCGUAGAUAUGCGAGGGAACACCGAUGGAGAAGGCAGCCUCCUGGGAUAACACUGACGCUCAUGCACGAAAGCGUGGGGAGCAAACAGG